AACGAACGCUGGCGGCAUGCUUAACACAUGCAAGUCGAACGUGAUCCCUUCCUUCGGGGAGGGUGAAAGUGGCGGACGGGUGAGUAACGCGUGGGAACCUGCCUUGUGGUCUGGGAUAACCGCGGGAAACUGCGGCUAAUACCGGGUAAGCCCUUCGGGGAAAGGAUUUAUCGCCAUGAGAGGGGCCCGCGUCGGAUUAGGUAGUUGGUGGGGUAACGGCCUACCAAGCCUGCGAUCCGUAGCUGGUCUGAGAGGAUGAUCAGCCACACUGGGACUGAGAUACGGCCCAGACUCCUACGGGAGGCAGCAGUGGGGAAUAUUGGACAAUGGGGGCGAACCCUGAUCCAGCAAUGCCGCGUGAGUGAAGAAGGCCUUAGGGUUGUAAAGCUCUUUCGCCCGCGACGAUGAUGACGGUAGCGGGAGAAGAAGCCCCGGCUAACUCCGUGCCAGCCGCCGCGGU
Molecule: ribosomal RNA, 460 nt
Filed under: uncultured bacterium
Lineage: Bacteria
Description: bacterial SSU rRNA
Rfam family: Bacterial small subunit ribosomal RNA
Source: RNAcentral